Molecule: small nucleolar RNA, 65 nt
Filed under: Euglena gracilis
Lineage: Eukaryota; Euglenozoa; Euglenophyceae; Euglenales; Euglenaceae
Description: AGA box snoRNA
Source: RNAcentral
AUGYCACUGCGUAUACGCCGCUGCCCAGCCUUGGCAGCAUGUCGUCCGAAAGGCAUGGCAGACGC